UACGUAGGGACCAAGCGUUGUUCGGAUUUACUGGGCGUAAAGGGCGCGUAGGCGGCUUGUCAAGUCACUUGUGAAAUCUCUGGGCUUAACCCAGAACGGCCAAGUGAAACUGACAUGCUAGAGUGCGGAAGGGGCAAUCGGAAUUCUCGGUGUAGCGGUGAAAUGCGUAGAUAUCGAGAGGAACACCUGAGGUGAAGACGGGUUGCUGGGCCGACACUGACGCUGAGUGCGCGAAAGCCAGGGGAGCAAACGGG
This 254-nucleotide ribosomal RNA is filed under the name uncultured bacterium. Its description in RNAcentral is "partial 16S ribosomal RNA". It matches the Rfam family "Bacterial small subunit ribosomal RNA", at positions 524 to 776 of the family's 1533-position model. The record is from RNAcentral.